AUGAACGCUGGCGGCGUGCCUAAUCCCUGCCAGUCGAGCGAACAGACGAGGAGCUUGCUCCUCUGACGUUAGCGGCGGACGGGUGAGUAACACGUGGAUAACCUACCUAUAAGACUGGGAUAACUUCGGGAAACCGGAGCUAAUACCGGAUAAUAUAUUGAACCGCUUGGUUCAAUAGUGAAAGACGGUUUUGCUGUCACUUAUAGAUGGAUCCGCGCCGCAUUAGCUAGUUGGUAAGGUAACGGCUUACCAAGGCGACGAUGCGUAGCCGACCUGAGAGGGUGAUCGGCCACACUGGAACUGAGACACGGUCUAGACUCCUACGGGAGGCAGCAGUAGGGAAUCUUACGCAAUGGGCGAAAGCCUGACGGAGCAACGCCGCGUGAGUGAUGAAGGUCUUCGGAUCGUAAAACUCUGUUAUUAGGGAAGAACAAAUGUGUAAGUAACUAUGCACGUCUUGACGGUACCUAAUCAGAAAGCCACGGCUAACUACGUG
RNAcentral lists this ribosomal RNA (496 nucleotides) under uncultured bacterium. RNAcentral describes it as "partial 16S ribosomal RNA". It matches the Rfam family "Bacterial small subunit ribosomal RNA", at positions 29 to 507 of the family's 1533-position model. The record is from RNAcentral.